Molecule: ribosomal RNA, 451 nt
Filed under: uncultured Planctomycetota bacterium
Lineage: Bacteria; Pseudomonadati; Planctomycetota
Description: bacterial SSU rRNA
Rfam family: Bacterial small subunit ribosomal RNA
Source: RNAcentral
GACGAAGCGACGCCGCGUGGGUGAAGAAGGCCUUCGGGUUGUAAAACCCUGUCAGGAGUUAUGAAAUGUAAGUGCGCUAAUAUCGUGCUUAUUUGACAAAGGCUCCAAAGGAAGCCACGGCUAACCCUGUGCCAGCAGCCGCGGUAAUACAGAGGUGGCGAGCGUUGUUCGGAAUUAUUGGGCGUAAAGAGCACGUAGGUGGGUUUGCAAGUCAGAUGUGAAAGCCUUCUGUUCAACGGAAGAAUUGCAUCUGAAACUGCGAGUCUUGAGUGUAGGAGGGGAGAAUGGAACUUCUGGUGGGGCGGUGAAAUGCGUAGAUAUCAGAAGGAACGCCGGCGGCGAAAGCGAUUCUCUGGCCUAUUACUGACACUCAGUGUGCGAAAGCUAGGGGAGCAAACGGGAUUAGAUACCCCGGUAGUCCUAGCCGUAAACGAUGGGCACUAAGUAGAGG